This 253-nucleotide ribosomal RNA is filed under the name uncultured bacterium. Its description in RNAcentral is "partial 16S ribosomal RNA". It matches the Rfam family "Bacterial small subunit ribosomal RNA", at positions 524 to 776 of the family's 1533-position model. The record is from RNAcentral.
UACAGAGGGUGCGAACGUUGUUCGGAAUUACUGGGCAUAAAGAGCACGUAGGCGGCACCGCAAGUGUGGGGUGAAAUCCCACGGCUUACCCGUGGAACUGCCUGGCAGACUGCGGUGCUAGAGGUUGGUAGGGGAGAGCGGAACUCUUGGUGGAGCGGUGAAAUGCGUAGAUAUCAAGAGGAACACCGGUGGCGAAGGCGGGUCUCUGGGCAGUAACUGACGCUGAGGAGCGAAAGCGUGGGGAGCGAACAGG